AGAAAAUUAAUCCAUAAAGCUAAUAGAAUUUUUAUACCUUCCUUUGGACACAACAGGCCGUCGCCCCCAAACAUCCAGGUGAACUAACUAUAAAGUAGACUCGUCUCGUUUAUUAGCCCUCGGAUGUAACAUACUGCAAUGGAUUUUAUGUUGAUGGAGGAUUUCGAAGAAUCUAACAAGUUCAAGAUCAUAUUGGUGCUAAUAACAAUGUUAAGAAAUUUUGAUUAACAAUAAAACAUGGUAAGAAAUCACCCGGUUGAUGAAUGAAAACUCUAGGUUGUUUGCCCCUCCAUAGCUCUCAGAAUGC
This 307-nucleotide long non-coding RNA is filed under the name Nicotiana benthamiana. RNAcentral's name for it is "long non-coding RNA (NBEN_LNC038672)". The record is from RNAcentral. Lineage: Eukaryota; Viridiplantae; Streptophyta; Magnoliopsida; Solanales; Solanaceae.